RNAcentral lists this ribosomal RNA (486 nucleotides) under uncultured bacterium. RNAcentral's name for it is "partial 16S ribosomal RNA". It matches the Rfam family "Bacterial small subunit ribosomal RNA", at positions 30 to 507 of the family's 1533-position model. The record is from RNAcentral.
AUUGAACGCUGGCGGCAUGCCUAACACAUGCAAGUCGAACGGCCGCACGGGUGCUUGCCCCUGGUGGCGUGUGGCGCACGGGUGAGUAAAACAUGGGAAUAAGUUCUGUAGUGGGGGAUAGCCCGGCGAAAGCCGGAUUAAUACCGCAUACGAUCAUCGUAAAACAGCGGGGUCCCCUCGGGCCUCGCGUCUUGCUGUUGCUCGAGGGCUGAUUAGCUAGUUGGUGGGGUAAAGGCCUACCAAGGCGACGAUCAGUAGCUGGUCUGAGAGGACGACCAGCCACACUGGGACUGAGACACGGCCCAGACUCCUACGGGAGGCAGCAGUGGGGAAUUUUGGACAAUGGGCGAAAGCCUGAUCCAGCAAUGCCGCGUGUGUGAAGAAGGCCUUCGGAUUGUAAAGCACUUUUAUCCGGGAAGAAAUCCUUGGCUCUAAUACGGUCGGGUGAUGACGGUACCGGAAGAAUAAGCACCGGCUAACUACGUG